UACGAAGGGGGCUAGCGUUGUUCGGAAUUACUGGGCGUAAAGCGCGCGUAGGCGGCGACCUUUGUCAGAGGUGAAAUCCCGAGGCUCAACUUCGGAAUUGCCUUUGAAACGGGGUUGCUUGAGUCCGAGAGAGGAUGGCGGAAUUCCUAGUGUAGAGGUGAAAUUCGUAGAUAUUAGGAAGAACACCGGUGGCGAAGGCGGCCAUCUGGCUCGGUACUGACGCUCAGGCGCGAAAGCGUGGGGAUCAAACAAG
This 253-nucleotide ribosomal RNA is filed under the name uncultured bacterium. RNAcentral's name for it is "partial 16S ribosomal RNA". It matches the Rfam family "Bacterial small subunit ribosomal RNA", at positions 524 to 776 of the family's 1533-position model. The record is from RNAcentral.